AUUGAACGCUGGCGGCAGGCCUAAUACAUGCAAGUCGAACGGUAACAUAAAAGAAGCUUGCUUCUUUUGAUGACGAGUGGCGGACGGGUGAGUAAUAUUUGGGAAACUACCUGAUAGAGGGGGACAACAGUUGGAAACGACUGCUAAUACCGCAUAAAGCCUAAGGGUGAAAGCAGCAAUGCGCUAUCAGAUGUGCCCAAACGGGAUUAGCUAGUAGGUGAGGUAAAGGCUCACCUAGGCGACGAUCUCUAGCUGGUCUGAGAGGAUGAUCAGCCACAUUGGGACUGAGACACGGCCCAGACUCCUACGGGAGGCAGCAGUAGGGAAUAUUGCACAAUGGAGGAAACUCUGAUGCAGCCAUGCCGCGUGUGUGAAGAAGGCCUUCGGGUUGUAAAGCACUUUCGGAGGGGAGGAAAAGAUGACGUUACCCUCAGAAGAAGCACCGGCUAACUCCGUG
This 457-nucleotide ribosomal RNA is filed under the name uncultured bacterium. Its description in RNAcentral is "bacterial SSU rRNA". It matches the Rfam family "Bacterial small subunit ribosomal RNA", at positions 30 to 507 of the family's 1533-position model. The record is from RNAcentral.